CACACAACAGUCUCGUCUCUAAGUUGGAGAAACAAGGAUUCCAUGGUGGCUGAGGAACCGGCUGGAUGUUCACACUCAAAGAGUUACAGUCAAUGUCUCAAUGCCCAAGUGGACACCAAGGACAAGCAGCAAGGAGUGUUUGUAUGAGGUCUCUAUUGGGACUGGCCCUGUUUCACUCUGUCACCAACACAGACAAUGGGAUCAAGGCCACCCUCAGCAAAUUGGCUGACAACACUGAGCUCCAUGGCACCAUCAAUACACUUGAGGGAAGGGAUGCCAUCCAAAGGGAUCUGGACCGCUUGCAAGCUGCUGCUGAAAGAUAAUUUUCCUGGAUGCCUAUCUGAGAAGCUUGUCUUCCCUGAGAGAAUCUAGAGCCAGUGCUGAAGAACUUCACUUGAGCAUGCAGCUGGUACCUCUUUUCCCCCCAACACUGCUCCACUAGUAUACAAUAGUAUUAUUACCAGCUUAUGGCUCUUCACAUGUGAGAAACGUCAUCAUCUGGUGUUUCACCAACAUAAGCCUGUUGUUGCUGGAUACAAAAGUGAUGGUGCAGCUCUGGUUCUUCCCUGCAGCAGGAGGAUAAAGUUCAUGGUGGGGGGGUACCAUGGAUGCUAAGCAUUACAUGACCCCAAUAGAAGAUGUUCUGCAAGCCAGUAGAGACAUCAGCUGAAGGUUAACAGAGAUCCACCAUGUCCAAAUAGAAAAUCUCAGUGCCAGAAAGCGUGGUUGAAAGCAGGAACUUCACGGAAAGGUGCAUGCUAUUGCACAAGCAAAAGAUAAAGCAAAUCCUUAUGGAAACUACAGGAGGAGGAACACUGGGAAUCACACCCAUUACUGCCUUGGAUUCAAACAUAACAAGUGACAGCCAAAAACUGCUUGAAAUAAUGAAGACUGAAGACACCCAGACCUUCUUACAAACUAACUUGUUAUAUUACAAGGAGAAGAUCCUUACCACUCCAAGGUGAAAAAAUACCACAGAAUUUGCCAAACCAAAUACUGUUCUGAAAGCUAGCUAUACCCUUUAAUUUUUACCACUAUUAGUAGUAACAUGUUCCAGGCAUCUCAGUUUUGUCAUUUGCAGCCAACUUACUCCUUUGUCAGGAAUACAGCCAGCAGCGCUAAAUAUUCUGUCUUAUUGUAUCCACCUAGUCACCUUAAAUAAGCAAGUGGAUGUAAACCACUUUGUUCUACUCCUGGGGUGUUUAAAAACCUGUGGUAAUGUGCUCACCACCCAAGUAAAAAUAUGGCAUGACACUUUGUUGUCGUUUAAACCCAGCUGGCAACUAAGAACACAUAGCCACAACUAAAAACACUGCCCUUCACAUCCUGGUCAAAAAGGGGAGAAGAAUUUUAAAAAAAGCUCACCAGUGAAGACCAGUUUAAUUGACCAGUAAUUGAAACAAAGUAAUGUGCAAUACUACUAAUAAAAUGAAAUAAGAAAGGAGAGAAACCCCAAGGAAAACAAGUGAUAGACAAAAGAACUGCUCAUCAUCAUCCAGUGGCUUAUACUAAACCCUAUCCCUGAACUGUGAGCAC
Long non-coding RNA from Passer domesticus (house sparrow), 1536 nucleotides. RefSeq lists it as uncharacterized. The record is from RefSeq and is a predicted model, not a curated record. Lineage: Eukaryota; Metazoa; Chordata; Aves; Passeriformes; Passeridae. The transcript is spliced from 3 exons.